RNAcentral lists this ribosomal RNA (497 nucleotides) under uncultured bacterium. Its description in RNAcentral is "partial 16S ribosomal RNA". It matches the Rfam family "Bacterial small subunit ribosomal RNA", at positions 28 to 507 of the family's 1533-position model. The record is from RNAcentral.
GAUGAACGCUGGCGGCGUGCCUAAUACAUGCAAGUCGAGCGAACGGACGAGAAGCUUGCUUCGCUGAUGUUAGCGGCGGACGGGUGAGUAACACGUGAAUAACCUACCUAUAAGACUGGGAUAACUUCGGGAAACCGGAGCUAAUACCGGAUAAUAUUUUGAACCGCAUGGUUCAAAAGUUAAAGACGGUCUUGCUGUCACUUAUAGAUGGAUCCGCGCUGCAUUAGCUAGUUGGUAAGGUAACGGCUUACCAAGGCAACGAUGGAUAGCCGACCUGAGAGGGUGAGCGGCCACACUGGAACUGAGACACGGUCCAGACUCCUACGGGAGGCAGCAGUAGGGAAUCUUCCGCAAUGGGCGAAAGCCUGACGGAGCAACGCCGCGUGAGUGAUGAAGGUCUUCGGAUCGUAAAACUCUGUUAUUAGGGAAGACCAUAUGUGUAAGUAACUGUGCACAUCUUGACGGUACCUAAACAGAAAGCCACGGCUAACUACGUG